GUAGUACUCCCUCCGUCCGGAAAUACUUGUCGCAGAAAUGGAUGAAAAUGAAUGCAUUUAGAACAAAAAUACGUCUAGAUACAUCCAUCUCUCCGACGAGUAUUUCCGAACGGAGGGAGUACUAC
This is a non-coding RNA of Triticum aestivum (bread wheat), 125 nucleotides long. The record is from Rfam. Lineage: Eukaryota; Viridiplantae; Streptophyta; Magnoliopsida; Poales; Poaceae.